This is a long non-coding RNA of Pelobates fuscus (common spadefoot toad), 341 nucleotides long. RefSeq lists it as uncharacterized. The transcript is spliced from 3 exons. NCBI's taxonomy places the organism in Eukaryota, Metazoa, Chordata, Amphibia, Anura, Pelobatidae. The record is from RefSeq and is a predicted model, not a curated record.
UAAGGCACGUUAAGCACUUAAAAAAAUUCACCUUCAAUAAUCGUGUACGACAGUCCAUCGAAAUCUUGCAGAAGAAACAUGUCUGGAGUAAAGGGACAGAAGAAAUGCCCAGAUCCAUGCCCAGAUCCAUGCCCAGAACCAUGCCCACCACCAUGCCCACCACAGCAAUGCCAGGAUCCAUGUGACCCAUGUCCUCCUCCACAAUGCAAAGAUCCCUGUAAACCAGCUCCACAGCAGUGCCAGCAAGGUGUGAAGAAGUAUUAAUAGGAAGGAGCCAUUGAAUGAUGGAAACUGUCCACUGCUUCAGCAAGAUGUAUACCCAGCUGUCCUAAAUGAGAUUA